RNAcentral lists this ribosomal RNA (440 nucleotides) under uncultured bacterium. RNAcentral's name for it is "partial 16S ribosomal RNA". It matches the Rfam family "Bacterial small subunit ribosomal RNA", at positions 338 to 795 of the family's 1533-position model. The record is from RNAcentral.
CCUACGGGAGGCAGCAGUGGGGGAUAUUGCACAAUGGGGGGAACCCUGAUGCAGCGACGCCGCGUGUGGGAAGACGGUCCUCUGGAUUGUAAACCACUGUCCCCAGGGACGAAAAUGACGGUACCUGGGGAGGAAGCUCCGGCUAACUACGCGCCAGCAGCCGCGGAAAUCGGUGGGGAGCGAGCGUUGUCCGGAAUUACUGGGUGUAAAGGGAGCGUAGGCGGGGAUGCAAGUUGGGUGUCAAAACUACCGGCUCAACUGGUAGUCGCACUCAAAACUGCAGCUCUUGAGUGAAGUAGAGGCAGGCGGAAUGCCUAGUGUAGCGGUGAAAUGCGUAGAUAUUAGGAGGAACACCAGUGGCGAAGGCGGCCUGCUGGGCUUUGACUGACGCUGAGGCUCGAAAGUGUGGGGAGCAAACAGGAUUAGAUACCCUAGUAGUC